Podarcis raffonei (Aeolian wall lizard) is the source of this 158-nucleotide long non-coding RNA. RefSeq lists it as uncharacterized. The transcript has 2 exons. The record is from RefSeq and is a predicted model, not a curated record. Lineage: Eukaryota; Metazoa; Chordata; Lepidosauria; Squamata; Lacertidae.
CCCAUGUUUUGUUAGCCCAAAAAUGGAAAAUGAGUGAGGUCCCAAUCAAAGAAGAAUGGCAACUUAAGCUGACAGAAUAUGCACAACUUGCAGACUUAACAUAAUAAGAGAACAAGAAUAAUAAACGAAGAUUGGAAAACGUUUAUUGAAUAUAUGGG